GAAAUUGGAGAAUUUCCCUUUGCUUCUCUCUAUAUCUAUCCUCUUAAUCCCGUCUCUGCCUUUGCCUGCCUGUUUGUGUAGAGACAGUUAGAGAUGCCUCUUCUGAGGGCCCUUUGAUCCAAUUAUAAUGUUUUUGGGGUUUCUUAAAGCUUUUAUCUUUUCUUGAAGAGGCUAAGAUUUUGAUGCAGGUGUUGAGUCACUUCGCCUUAGUAAUCCACAGGCGCAGUGAAUAAAAUCCUGCAAGAUCCUUUGCAAUUUUAUUUUUCAUCACUUGUUUUGUUUCUUCUCUUUAGCAACUAACUUUUCUUGUAUUGGAGAAUGGGGUCCCAUGAUGACAUGGAAUCUUUGAGACCUGAAUUCAUGUAAUUUUGAUGAAAAUUACAAGCUUAAUUACUGAGGACCCCAUUGAUUAAGCUUGUAAUUUUCAUCAAAAUUACAUGAAUUCAGGUCUCAAAGAUUCCAUGUCAUCAUGGGACCCCAUUCUCCAAUACAAGAAAAGUUAGUUGCUAAAGAGAAGAAACAAAACAAGUGAUGAAAAAUAAAAUUGCAAAGGAUCUUGCAGGAUUUUAUUCACUGCGCCUGUGGAUUACUAAGGCGAAGUGACUCAACACCUGCAUCAAAAUCUUAGCCUCUUCAAGAAAAGAUAAAAGCUUUAAGAAACCCCAAAAACAUUAUAAUUGGAUCAAAGGGCCCUCAGAAGAGGCAUCUCUAACUGUCUCUAC
Molecule: unclassified non-coding RNA, 722 nt
Filed under: Hevea brasiliensis (rubber tree)
Lineage: Eukaryota; Viridiplantae; Streptophyta; Magnoliopsida; Malpighiales; Euphorbiaceae
Source: RNAcentral